RNAcentral lists this ribosomal RNA (497 nucleotides) under uncultured bacterium. Its description in RNAcentral is "partial 16S ribosomal RNA". It matches the Rfam family "Bacterial small subunit ribosomal RNA", at positions 28 to 507 of the family's 1533-position model. The record is from RNAcentral.
GAUGAACGCUGGCGGCGUGCCUAAUACAUGCAAGUCGAGCGAACGGACGAGAAGCUUGCUUUUCUGAUGUUAGCGGCGGACGGGUGAGUAACACGUGGACAACCUACCUAUAAGACUGGGAUAACUUCGGGAAACCGGAGCUAAUACCGGAUAAUAUUUUGAACCGCAUGGUUCAAAAGUGAAAGACGGUCUUGCUGUCACUUAUAGAUGGAUCCGCGCUGCAUUAGCUAGUUGGUAAGGUAACGGCUUACCAAGGCAACGAUGCAUAGCCGACCUGAGAGGGUGAUCGGCCACACUGGAACUGAGACACGGUCCAGACUCCUACGGGAGGCAGCAGUAGGGAAUCUUCCGCAAUGGGCGAAAGCCUGACGGAGCAACGCCGCGUGAGUGAUGAAGGUCUUCGGAUCGUAAAACUCUGUUAUUAGGGAAGAACAUAUGUGUAAGUAACUGUGCACAUCUUGACGGUACCUAAUCAGAAAGCCACGGCUAACUACGUG